GAUGAAGAACGUAGCGAAAUGCGAUAACUAAUGUGAAUUGCAGAAUUCAGUGAAUCAUCGAGUCUUUGAACGCACAUUGCGCCCCCUGGUAUUCCGGGGGGCAUGCCUGUCCGAGCGUCAUUGCUGCCCUCAAGCACGGCUUGUGUGUUGGGCUCCGUCCCCCCGGGGAUGGGCCCGAAAGGCAGCGGCGGCACCGAGUCCGGUCCUCGAGCGUAUGGGGCUUUGUCACCCGCUCUGUAGGCCCGGCCGGCGCCAGCCGACAACCCAUCAUCCUUUUCAGGUUGACCUCGGAUCAGGUAGGGAUACCCGCUGAACUUAAGCAUAUCAAUAAGCGGAGGA
Molecule: unclassified non-coding RNA, 339 nt
Filed under: soil metagenome
Description: partial contains 5.8S ribosomal RNA, internal transcribed spacer 2, and large subunit ribosomal RNA
Rfam family: 5.8S ribosomal RNA (bases 1-120)
Source: RNAcentral